Molecule: long non-coding RNA, 1256 nt
Filed under: Oncorhynchus kisutch (coho salmon)
Lineage: Eukaryota; Metazoa; Chordata; Actinopteri; Salmoniformes; Salmonidae
Description: lncRNA (ENSOKIG00005033263.1)
Source: RNAcentral
CAUCACCUCAGAGUAUGAUUUACAUCGAAGUGGAUAUUUUGUGAGCCUGAGCAUGGGGUCCAGCUGGUGUAAGAUCAUAUUGAAGAACGAGACCCCUUACACCUGGCACUACUCCGGUUCCCAUGUUGAUGACCCUUUUCCCAAUAGCUCUUACACAGAGAGGAAGGAAAGUGGCACACUGAAGGCUCAGGAGGAAAAAGAAUAUUGGCCAGAUCGGAAUGGUACACUCUGUAGGUUCAUUCUGAAAUAUGGAGAUCAUCAACACAAUUCUUUUUCAUAUCCCUACUCUGGAUAUCAACACACAACGUUCACCAUCAGAGAAAGCCUGGACCGCUCUGUCAUUGAGCUGCACUGUAGCACAGGUUCUGUAGUUGAAACAUGUCCCAACUAUGGUAAGUCGUAUUUUUUCAUUUGAAACCUUCAGGGCUCUAUUUUAACAACCCAAAUGCAAUUGUUGAUCUAAGCGCUUCAGAAAUAAUUGUUAAAGUUCCGUGGUAAUAUCUGUCGGUGCAAAUUCUGGCGGUAGUGUAAAGCUGUCUUUAGAUUAAUAAAAUGAAUAAUAGGUAUGUCAAGGGCUUGACCACUCACAGACCAAUCAAAAUGUGCUCCAUAGCCAAAUAUAUGCGCUCUGUGUAUUUGGGGCUUGUGUGUUUUCCUCAACUCAUAUGGAUGCAUAUGGUCUUCCAAACCACUGGCUAGUGAAUUGAUGGAUAGUUUCAGUAUCACAUAAUUGCAAUGACAGACAAAAUUUGGCUAACUUUCUUUAGACCUGACAUCGUGUCUCCGAAGCAAUAGACUUGCAUUUGCAAUAGUGAACAUAACGUCCUUGCAAGUUUGAUAAAAUAAUGAUAAAUGUUUUACUCUGAAUUUGUUGCCUAGAGCAUUAAUAAAAGAAGGCUUUAGGAUGUUAAAUCAAGGCUGGAUUUAACAUCCUAUUAGAUUAUAGACCUACUUUUUGUGGGCAAAGACUUCUCGCUUUGGCAUUAAACAUUAUUGAUGAUUCCGUUUUUCCCAAAAAGCAAAGAAGGAGAAGGACCAGCAGCGGCGAGAGGAGGAACAGCGGCGGAAGGAGGAACAGCGGCGGAAGGAGGAACAGCGGCGAGAGGAGGAACAGCGGCGGCAGGAGAGACAGGAAAGGGAGAGGAGGAUUGAGGAGGAGAUCAGCAAGGAGACUGAGGAGGCCAGGAGGAGUCUGACAGAGGCAAAGCUGAACCUCAGUCCUAGUCUGAGGGAGCAGGAGGGUCAUCGGCAGCACA